ACGGAGUUCUUGAGGAAUGCGGCUUCGGCCAAAUGACUUUUGAACUUAGUGGCGGACGGGUGAGUAACGCGUGAGCAACCUGCCUUUCAGAGGGGGAUAACAUUUGGAAACAGAUGCUAAUACCGCAUAAGAUUACAGUACCGCAUGAUACAGUGAUCAAAGGAGCAAUCCGCUGAAAGAUGGGCUCGCGUCCGAUUAGAUAGUUGGUGAGGUAACGGCUCACCAAGUCGACGAUCGGUAGCCGGACUGAGAGGUUGGACGGCCACAUUGGGACUGAGACACGGCCCAGACUCCUACGGGAGGCAGCAGUGGGGAAUAUUGCACAAUGGGCGAAAGCCUGAUGCAGCAACGCCGCGUGAGGGAAGACGGUUUUCGGAUUGUAAACCUCUGUUUUCGGUGACGAAUAAAUGACGGUAACCGAGUAGGAAGCCACGGCUAACUACGUGCCAGCAGCCGCGGUAAUACGUAGGUGGCAAGCGUUAUCCGGAAUUACUGGGUGUAAAGGGAGCGCAGGCGGGAUAGCAAGUCAGCUGUGAAAACUAUGGGCUCAACCCAUAAACUGCAGUUGAAACUGUUAUUCUUGAGUGGAGUAGAGGCAAGCGGAAUUCCGAGUGUAGCGGUGAAAUGCGUAGAUAUUCGGAGGAACACCAGUGGCGAAGGCGGCUUGCUGGGCUCUAACUGACGCUGAAGGCUCGAA
RNAcentral lists this ribosomal RNA (697 nucleotides) under uncultured bacterium. Its description in RNAcentral is "bacterial SSU rRNA". It matches the Rfam family "Bacterial small subunit ribosomal RNA", at positions 55 to 757 of the family's 1533-position model. The record is from RNAcentral.